RNAcentral lists this ribosomal RNA (433 nucleotides) under uncultured bacterium. Its description in RNAcentral is "partial 16S ribosomal RNA". It matches the Rfam family "Bacterial small subunit ribosomal RNA", at positions 29 to 507 of the family's 1533-position model. The record is from RNAcentral.
AACGAACGCUGGCGGCAUGCCUAACACAUGCCAGUCGAACGAAGGCUUCGGCCUUAGUGGCGCACGGGUGCGUAACGCGUGGGAAUCUGCCCUUUGCUUCGGAAUAACAGUUAGAAAUGACUGCUAAUACCGGAUGAUGUCGCAAGACCAAAGAUUUAUCGGCAAAGGAUGAGCCCGCGUAGGAUUAGCUAGUUGGUGGGGUAAAGGCCUACCAAGGCGACGAUCCUUAGCUGGUCUGGGAGGAUGAUCAGCCACACUGGGACUGAGACACGGCCCAGACUCCUACGGGAGGCAGCAGUGGGGAAUAUUGGACAAUGGGCGAAAGCCUGAUCCAGCAAUGCCGCGUGAGUGAUGAAGGCCUUAGGGUUGUAAAGCUCUUUUACCCGGGAUGAUAAUGACAGUACCGGGAGAAUAAGCGCCGGCUAACUCCGUG